Molecule: ribosomal RNA, 467 nt
Filed under: uncultured bacterium
Lineage: Bacteria
Description: partial 16S ribosomal RNA
Rfam family: Bacterial small subunit ribosomal RNA
Source: RNAcentral
ACGAACGCUGGCGGCGUGCUUAACACAUGCAAGUCGAACGGAAAGGCCCUGCUUUUGUGGGGUGCUCGAGUGGCGAACGGGUGAGUAACACGUGAGUAACCUGCCCUUGACUUUGGGAUAACUUCAGGAAACUGGGGCUAAUACCGGAUAGGAGCUCCUGCUGCAUGGUGGGGGUUGGAAAGUUUCGGCGGUUGGGGAUGGACUCGCGGCUUAUCAGCUUGUUGGUGGGGUAGUGGCUUACCAAGGCUUUGACGGGUAGCCGGCCUGAGAGGGUGACCGGCCACAUUGGGACUGAGAUACGGCCCAGACUCCUACGGGAGGCAGCAGUGGGGAAUUUUGCACAAUGGGCGGAAGCCUGAUGCAGCAACGCCGCGUGCGGGAUGACGGCCUUCGGGCUGUAAACCGCUUUCGCCUGUGACGAAGCGUGAGUGACGGUAAUGGGUAAAGAAGCACCGGCUAACUACGUG